CUAUACUACUAUAGGGAUGGUUCCCAUAUAUUAUGGGAACCAAUCCCAUAAUAGUAUGAGAAUAGUUCCCAUACUAUUAUGGGAAUGGUUCCCAUAUUGGUAUAGGAACUAUUCCUAUAAUAUUAUGGGAACUAUU
This is a small nucleolar RNA of Microplitis mediator, 136 nucleotides long. NCBI's taxonomy places the organism in Eukaryota, Metazoa, Arthropoda, Insecta, Hymenoptera, Braconidae. The record is from RefSeq and is a predicted model, not a curated record.